UUAAGCGACUAAGCGUACACGGUGGAUGCCCUGGCAGUCAGAGGCGAUGAAGGACGUGCUAAUCUGCGAUAAGCGCCGGUAAGGUGAUAUGAACCGUUAUAACCGGCGAUUUCCGAAUGGGGAAACCCAGUGUGAUUCGUCACACUAUCAUUAACUGAAUCCAUAGGUUAAUGAGGCGAACCGGGGGAACUGAAACAUCUAAGUACCCCGAGGAAAAGAAAUCAACCGAGAUUCCCCCAGUAGCGGCGAGCGAACGGGGAGGAGCCCAGAGCCUGAAUCAGCAUGUGUGUUAGUGGAAGCGUCUGGAAAGGCGCGCGAUACAGGGUGACAGCCCCGUACACAAAAGCGCAUGUGCUGUGAGCUCGAUGAGUAGGGCGGGACACGUGGUAUCCUGUCUGAAUAUGGGGGGACCAUCCUCCAAGGCUAAAUACUCCUGACUGACCGAUAGUGAACCAGUACCGUGAGGGAAAGGCGAAAAGAACCCCGGCGAGGGGAGUGAAAAAGAACCUGAAACCGUGUACGUACAAGCAGUGGGAGCACAGGUUUACCUGUGUGACUGCGUACCUUUUGUAUAAUGGGUCAGCGACUUAUAUUCUGUAGCAAGGUUAACCGUAUAGGGGAGCCGGAGGGAAACCGAGUCUUAAUUGGGCGUUAAGUUGCAGGGUAUAGACCCGAAACCCGGUGAUCUAGCCAUGGGCAGGUUGAAGGUUGGGUAACACUAACUGGAGGACCGAACCGACUAAUGUUGAAAAAUUAGCGGAUGACCUGUGGCUGGGGGUGAAAGGCCAAUCAAACCGGGAGAUAGCUGGUUCUCCCCGAAAGCUAUUUAGGUAGCGCCUCGUGAAUUCAUCUCCGGGGGUAGAGCACUGUUUCGGCUAGGGGGCCAUCCCGGCUUACCAACCCGAUGCAAACUGCGAAUACCGGAGAAUGUUAUCACGGGAGACACACGGCGGGUGCUAACGUCCGUCGUGAAGAGGGAAACAACCCAGACCGCCAGCUAAGGUCCCAAAGUCAUGGUUAAGUGGGAAACGAUGUGGGAAGGCCCAGACAGCCAGGAUGUUGGCUUAGAAGCAGCCAUCAUUUAAAGAAAGCGUAAUAGCUCACUGGUCGAGUCGGCCUGCGCGGAAGAUGUAACGGGGCUAAACCAUGCACCGAAGCUGCGGCAGCGAACGUAUCACCCAAGACAACUUUACGGAGUUGACGAUUGACGGAGCGAAGCGACGUCAAAGCGUUCAUUAAAGUCGAGUUGGCUUAGGGAUACGUUCGUUGGGUAGGGGAGCGUUCUGUAAGCCUGUGAAGGUGGUGUCGUGAGGCAUGCUGGAGGUAUCAGAAGUGCGAAUGCUGACAUAAGUAACGAUAAAGCGGGUGAAAAGCCCGCUCGCCGGAAGACCAAGGGUUCCUGUCCAACGUUAAUCGGGGCAGGGUGAGUCGACCCCUAAGGCGAGGCCGAAAGGCGUAGUCGAUGGGAAACGGGUUAAUAUUCCCGUACUUGGUGUUACUGCGAAGGGGGGGACGGAGAAGGCUAUGUUGGCCGGGCGACGGUUGUCCCGGUUUAAGCGUGUAGGUGUGUGUUCCAGGUAAAUCCGGUUCACUUUAACACUGAGGCGUGACGACGAGGCACUACGGUGCUGAAGCAACAAAUGCCCUGCUUCCAGGAAAAGCCUCUAAGCAUCAGGUAACACGAAAUCGUACCCCAAACCGACACAGGUGGUCAGGUAGAGAAUACCAAGGCGCUUGAGAGAACUCGGGUGAAGGAACUAGGCAAAAUGGUGCCGUAACUUCGGGAGAAGGCACGCUGACACGUAGGUGAAGUGAUUUACUCAUGGAGCUGAAGUCAGUCGAAGAUACCAGCUGGCUGCAACUGUUUAUUAAAAACACAGCACUGUGCAAACACGAAAGUGGACGUAUACGGUGUGACGCCUGCCCGGUGCCGGAAGGUUAAUUGAUGGGGUCAGCGUAAGCGAAGCUCCUGAUCGAAGCCCCGGUAAACGGCGGCCGUAACUAUAACGGUCCUAAGGUAGCGAAAUUCCUUGUCGGGUAAGUUCCGACCUGCACGAAUGGCGUAAUGAUGGCCAGGCUGUCUCCACCCGAGACUCAGUGAAAUUGAACUCGCUGUGAAGAUGCAGUGUACCCGCGGCAAGACGGAAAGACCCCGUGAACCUUUACUAUAGCUUGACACUGAACAUUGAGCCUUGAUGUGUAGGAUAGGUGGGAGGCUUUGAAGUGUGGACGCCAGUCUGCAUGGAGCCGACCUUGAAAUACCACCCUUUAAUGUUUGAUGUUCUAACGUGGACCCGUAAUCCGGGUUGCGGACAGUGUCUGGUGGGUAGUUUGACUGGGGCGGUCUCCUCCUAAAGAGUAACGGAGGAGCACGAAGGUUGGCUAAUCCUGGUCGGACAUCAGGAGGUUAGUGCAAUGGCAUAAGCCAGCUUGACUGCGAGCGUGACGGCGCGAGCAGGUGCGAAAGCAGGUCAUAGUGAUCCGGUGGUUCUGAAUGGAAGGGCCAUCGCUCAACGGAUAAAAGGUACUCCGGGGAUAACAGGCUGAUACCGCCCAAGAGUUCAUAUCGACGGCGGUGUUUGGCACCUCGAUGUCGGCUCAUCACAUCCUGGGGCUGAAGUAGGUCCCAAGGGUAUGGCUGUUCGCCAUUUAAAGUGGUACGCGAGCUGGGUUUUAGAACGUCGUGAGACAGUUCGGUCCCUAUCUGCCGUGGGCGCUGGAGAACUGAGGGGGGCUGCUCCUAGUACGAGAGGACCGGAGUGGACGCAUCACUGGUGUUCGGGUUGUCAUGCCAAUGGCACUGCCCGGUAGCUAAAUGCGGAAGAGAUAAGUGCUGAAAGCAUCUAAGCACGAAACUUGCCCCGAGAUGAGUUCUCCCUGAGACUUAGAGUCUCCUGAAGGAACGUUGAAGACGACGACGUUGAUAGGCCGGGUGUGUAAGCGCAGCGAUGCGUUGAGCUAACCGGUACUAAUGAACCGUGAGGCUUAACCUU
RNAcentral lists this ribosomal RNA (2993 nucleotides) under Salmonella enterica subsp. enterica. Its description in RNAcentral is "bacterial LSU rRNA". It matches the Rfam family "Bacterial large subunit ribosomal RNA". Lineage: Bacteria; Pseudomonadati; Pseudomonadota; Gammaproteobacteria; Enterobacterales; Enterobacteriaceae. The record is from RNAcentral.